GAUGAACGCUGGCGGCGUGCCUAAUACAUGCAAGUCGAGCGAAAAGAUGAGGAGCUUGCUCCUCUGACGUUAGCGGCGGACGGGUGCGUAACACGUGGAUAACCUACCUAUAAGACUGGGAUAACUUCGGGAAACCGGAGCUAAUACCGGAUAAUAUAUUGAACCGCAUGGUUCAAUAGUGAAAGACGGUUUUGCUGUCACUUAUAGAUGGAUCCGCGCCGCAUUCGCUAGUUGGUAAGGUAACAGCUUACCAAGGCAACGAUCCGUAGCCGGCCUGAGAGGAGGAGCCGCGACACUGGGACUGAGGCACGGCCCAGACUCCUACGGGAGGCAGCAGUGGGGAAUAUUGGACAAUGGGCGAAAGGAUGAUCCAGUAAUGCCGCGUGAGUGCUGAAGGCCUUAGGGUUGUAAAGCUCUUUUAACCGGGAUGAUAAUGACAGUACCGGGAGAAUAAGCGCCGGCUAACUCCGUG
Molecule: ribosomal RNA, 472 nt
Filed under: uncultured bacterium
Lineage: Bacteria
Description: partial 16S ribosomal RNA
Rfam family: Bacterial small subunit ribosomal RNA
Source: RNAcentral